GAAAACAUAUCCGCUAAAUGCUGAAUGAGGUUGAAUGCAGACGAUUGACUGCAACUAGCUGAAAAUAAUAAUAUAGCCACAUUAGUGGCAUUAUGAUUUGUGUUGCUAGUUUCCUUCUCCAUUCCUUUGGAAUUAUUUUAAGUUAUUUUAGAUUGAAAAGAAGCUACAGAGUUCUUCAUGGAAGCCAUCCUUAUGAGAAAAGUUUAAAAUCAUUGGUUCAGUGCCAAUGCCAAUCAAUAGUUGGACCAGAAUGCAUUGACAUAGUGACACCCGAUAUAGGUCAGUACAUACUGGAGGGGAGAGAGAGAGGAGUGGAGGAGGAGGAGGAGGCAAAAGAAGAACAAGUUGAAAAGAAGUCAUAAGAGGAGGAGGGGGCAGAUAAGGAAAAGGAAAAGACAAAGGAGGAAGUAAUAGAAUAAAAGAUGGACUAGUAUGAGGAAUAGGAAGAGGCAAAGGAUGAGGAGAAAGCAAAGGAGGAGGCAGCAGGGAAAAGAUGGACUAGUAGGAGGAGGAGGAGGAAUAGGAAGAGGCGAGGAUGAAGAGAAAGCGAAGGAGGAAGAGGUGGCGGAGGAAAAGGCAUAUCACUAAGAGGAGGGAAUGGUGAUGUAGACGAGGUGGUGAAGGCGACAACAGUGUGCUACGGGACAGAGGAUGUGGCAGCAAUGAUGCAACGAUGUGACAGCGAAGCGGAGGAGGCGACAAAUGAGGGGGGAAAGAGAGAUCAAGUGAGAGGAGAAAGAUCAUGUAAGAAAGAGAGAGAAUGCCAGAAUCAAAGAAUAAAAAUAAUUGCCAUUGCUCAUUUGUUCAAAACUACAAAGAGAUUAUAGAGACUGAGUGAUUAACUUACUACCUGGUUCCAGACUGUUCACCACAGGGUAAGCCUGGUACUGUGAACUGAAUGUGUGGUAUCGCCCAUGUUGGUACCAAGCGACUGAAAUCAGCUGUUCUACACUCUGGUUGGCUAUUGGAUCAGUAUAUAUAUAUAUAUACACGUACUAACCAGUACAAGUGGCAUUUGUUACCUUGCUUAUGGGCACCCUGAAUCACAAUAGUCAUCUUUAUGGAAGUCAUCAUUAUAGAUGCUGAAGUCCAUCAUGGUGUUGUUGAUAUAUAUAUAUAUAUAUAUAUAUUCAUCUCAAAUUAUUGGUGUUAAUCAUUUUUUAGUAGUCAUAGUGCGACUAUUUUGUUAGAAAAUUUAUGUUCAAUCUGAACUAGCCCUUAUGAGAAUGAGCGAAAACAUUGGUACGAUAGUUCUAGAAAUAAUCUUUGAAAUAGACUCCUUGAUUUCAAUUAUGAACCUAGUAAACAAUUUUACAUACGAAAAGUGCAUUUUAUAUUUACUAUUUUACCUUAGAUUUGCUCAUUAUCCAUUAGAUUGUUAUUUUAUAUAAUGU
This 1394-nucleotide long non-coding RNA is filed under the name Musa acuminata (dwarf banana). Its description in RNAcentral is "long non-coding RNA (MACU_LNC008541)". The record is from RNAcentral. Lineage: Eukaryota; Viridiplantae; Streptophyta; Magnoliopsida; Zingiberales; Musaceae.